This 470-nucleotide ribosomal RNA is filed under the name uncultured bacterium. RNAcentral's name for it is "bacterial SSU rRNA". It matches the Rfam family "Bacterial small subunit ribosomal RNA", at positions 8 to 526 of the family's 1533-position model. The record is from RNAcentral.
AGAGUUUGAUCCUGGCUCAGAACGAACGCUGGCGGCAGGCUUAACACAUGCAAGUCGAACGCACCGCAAGGUGAGUGGCAGACGGGUGAGUAACACGUGGGAACCUACACUUCGGUACGGAACAACUCAGGGAAACUUGUGCUAAUACCGUAUACGCCCCAAGGGGGAAAGAUUCAUCGCCGAAGGAUGGGCCCGCGUCGGAUUAGCUUGUUGGUGAGGUAAUGGCUCACCAAGGCGAUGAUCCGUAGCUGGUCUGAGAGGAUGAUCAGCCACACUGGGACUGAGACACGGCCCCGACUCCUACGGGAGGCAGCAGUGGGGAAUAUUGGACAAUGGGCGAAAGCCUGAUCCAGCCAUGCCGCGUGAGUGAAGAAGGCCUUAGGGUUGUAAAGCUCUUUUACCCGGGAAGAUAAUGACUGUACCGGGAGAAUAAGCUCCGGCUAACUUCGUGCCAGCAGCCGCGGUAAUUC